UAAAUGCAGUAACUGAGCUAAAGGCUUUAGUAAUGAUGCGCAAACUACGGUAGCUAGGCCUUAGCAGGGAUUUCCUUUCAACAUUUCUUUUUUGUUUUUAUUAGUUACCUUGUACAAAGGUAUUUUUUUUCAGGAAACAGUAUUAAAAUGAUUCCUCACAGUCCCAGAAAAACAUGACAUUUCAAGUUGAAGACUGCGCUCAGGCGUUCGCUUUGGGGUGAAUUAUCACAAAUGAAGUCAGAUCAGAAAUCCGGUUUUUGCCUACGAAGAUAAAUCUGAUCUCUGCAAACAACAUUUAUGCACAGAAAACACCAAAAAUAAGAGUGAAAUGCUUCACAUAUAAAUAGUAAAACAUACACAGACGUGAAGGUUUAAUGAAUGUGCGUUUAUGACGAGCAGUUUAUUGUCCACUUCGCUGGCUAAACACUAGGGGUGUCCUGAUGUAAACACAAGAGGAAUAUCCUCACCUGUAAAACAAGCCUGUCUCCACCACAAAGUUGAGGGGAAAAAAAAAAUUAUAAUAAAAUAAAAAAUCAUGACUUCUGGAGAAAUAUAUGGAAAUACCUUCUCUGUAGAUAACUGUAACUAGUAAUGGGAUAAGUCUGCUCUCACCUAGAUAAAAUGUACUAAAUGUUUCCCACGACGGGCUCAAAACCGCAACACAAUCACAUUUUAGAGGCAAUAUAUAUUUAUCUAAGUGGGUAUAUAUACAUCUAUAUAUAUAUAUCAAAAAAAUCACAAAUUUUGUUAGAAUUUGUUAAUUAUAUUAACUUUUUAAUUCACAACAUGGGUGAGUAUCAUAUCCUUUCUUGGCUCUUCUUUAUGUACAUUCAGUUAGUUUGAAAACUGGAUUCGGUUCUGCUGGAGCCAGAUGACUUUUCACUUAAAAAACAAACACCCACUGGUUCAGAAGUCAGCCGCGCCUACAGACUUCACUGCCAACCACCGGCUGACUUUAAACCGUGUAUGAACUCUGUAAACGUGUCUGUUCUGAUAGAAACUCCAAUACUGAAAAUGCAGAAAACCUCUCAAAUGAAAACUUGUGCGACUUGUCUGCUGUGCAUCUCUGUCUGCGGGUCGUUUUCACACAAGGCACAUCAUCUUUUCCCUCCUCUGCCCUUCAGACAAUCUUUCUUUCUCGUCGUUCCACCGCAAUUUGAUUCUGAAGGAUGCAGGGAGCAAUAUGUGCUACUUUAAUCAUCGCGAGGACUACAACAGGUUUUGAACUGUUUUUUUUUUUUUUACUCCAUUUUAUGCAGUUUGAACCGAUUUAAAGGCUGUAGGUCAAUUGGAUGGCUUGCCUGGUAAGGAGGUGUGAGAAAUAUGCAAGUAAAAUCAUUUUACUGCAGCAACAUAAUCUUGCUAUGAAAAAUAAACUUGUAAUUUAUUCAGGUGA
Poecilia latipinna (sailfin molly) is the source of this 1396-nucleotide long non-coding RNA. RefSeq lists it as uncharacterized. The record is from RefSeq and is a predicted model, not a curated record. NCBI's taxonomy places the organism in Eukaryota, Metazoa, Chordata, Actinopteri, Cyprinodontiformes, Poeciliidae. The transcript has 3 exons.